RNAcentral lists this ribosomal RNA (253 nucleotides) under uncultured bacterium. RNAcentral's name for it is "partial 16S ribosomal RNA". It matches the Rfam family "Bacterial small subunit ribosomal RNA", at positions 524 to 776 of the family's 1533-position model. The record is from RNAcentral.
UACGGGGGGUGCGAGCGUUGUCCGGAAUCACUGGGCGUAAAGGGCGCGUAGGUGGUUUGAUAAGGGUGUGGUGAAAGUCCGGGGCUCAACCCCGGAUCUGCCGUGCCGACUGUCAAACUCGAGGACUGUAGAGGCAGACGGAAUUCCAGGUGUAGCGGUGAAAUGCGUAGAUAUCUGGAGGAACACCGGUGGCGAAGGCGGCAUCCUGGACCGAGAUUGACGCUGAGGCGCGAAAGCCAGGGGAGCAAACGGG